GGCGCUCCCCCAUUUCUAUAAGAUUGUAUUAGGGUUGAAUGAAGCUUUGUUUAUAUAUUGAUAAUGACAGUAUAUAUAUCGUGUCUUGACUAAUUGCGUGCCAGCAGUCGCGGUAAUACGUAAGAGACUAGUGUUAUUCAUCUUAAUUAGGUUUAAAGGGUACCCAGACGGUCAAUAUAGCUUCUAAAAUGUUAGUACUUGACUAGAGUUUUAUGUAAGAGGGCAGUACUUGAGGAGGAGAGAUGAAAUUCCGUGAUACCAAAGGGACUCUGUAAAGGCGAAGGCAGCCCUCUAUGUAAAAACUGACGUUGAAGGACGAAGGCACAGAGAACAAACAGGAUUAGAUACCCAAGUAGUCUUUGCAGUAAAUGAUGAAUGCCAUAGGUCAGUUUAAUGUAGAUGAGGGACUAGACAUUAAACGUUAUUUGGUCUAUAAAUGAAAGUGUAAGCAUUCCACCUCAAGAG
RNAcentral lists this ribosomal RNA (465 nucleotides) under Fusarium udum. RNAcentral's name for it is "SSU rRNA". It matches the Rfam family "Bacterial small subunit ribosomal RNA", at positions 388 to 880 of the family's 1533-position model. Lineage: Eukaryota; Fungi; Ascomycota; Sordariomycetes; Hypocreales; Nectriaceae. The record is from RNAcentral.